This 468-nucleotide ribosomal RNA is filed under the name uncultured bacterium. Its description in RNAcentral is "partial 16S ribosomal RNA". It matches the Rfam family "Bacterial small subunit ribosomal RNA", at positions 28 to 507 of the family's 1533-position model. The record is from RNAcentral.
GACGAACGCUGGCGGCGUGCUUAACACAUGCAAGUCGAACGGAAAGGCCCUGCUUUUGUGGGGUGCUCGAGUGGCGAACGGGUGAGUAACACGUGAGUAACCUGCCCUUGACUUUGGGAUAACUUCAGGAAACUGGGGCUAAUACCGGAUAGGAGCUCCUGCUGCAUGGUGGGGGUUGGAAAGUUUCGGCGGUUGGGGAUGGACUGGCGGCUUAUCAGCUUGUUGGUGGGGUAGUGGCUUACCAAGGCUUUGACGGGUAGCCGGCCUGAGAGGGUGACCGGCGACAUUGGGACUGAGAUACGGCGCAGACUCCUACGGGAGGCAGCAGUGGGGAAUAUUGCACAAUGGGCGGAAGCCUGAUGCAGCAACGCCGCGUGCGGGAUGACGGCCUUCGGGUUGUAAACCGCUUUCGCCUGUGACGAAGCGUGAGUGACGGUAAUGGGUAAAGAAGCACCGGCUAACUACGUG